RNAcentral lists this transfer RNA (72 nucleotides) under Chloroflexota bacterium. RNAcentral describes it as "Chloroflexi bacterium tRNA-Lys". It matches the Rfam family "tRNA". Rfam says of the family: Transfer RNA (tRNA) molecules are approximately 80 nucleotides in length. Their secondary structure includes four short double-helical elements and three loops (D, anti-codon, and T loops). Further hydrogen bonds mediate the characteristic L-shaped molecular structure. tRNAs have two regions of fundamental functional importance: the anti-codon, which is responsible for specific mRNA codon recognition, and the 3' end, to which the tRNAs corresponding amino acid is attached (by aminoacyl-tRNA synthetases). tRNAs cope with the degeneracy of the genetic code in two manners: having more than one tRNA (with a specific anti-codon) for a particular amino acid; and 'wobble' base-pairing, i.e. permitting non-standard base-pairing at the 3rd anti-codon position. The record is from RNAcentral. RNAcentral also lists the same sequence under 1 other name. Lineage: Bacteria; Bacillati; Chloroflexota.
GCCCAGCUAGCUCAGCGGUAGAGCAGGUGACUCUUAAUCACUUGGUCCGGGGUUCGAAUCCCUGGCUGGGCA